This 245-nucleotide ribosomal RNA is filed under the name uncultured bacterium. RNAcentral's name for it is "partial 16S ribosomal RNA". It matches the Rfam family "Bacterial small subunit ribosomal RNA", at positions 524 to 768 of the family's 1533-position model. The record is from RNAcentral.
UACGGAGGGUGCAAGCGUUGUUCGGAAUCACUGGGCGUAAAGGGCGCGUAGGCGGCUCCAAAAGUCUGAUGUGAAAGCCCGGGGCUCAACCCCGGAAGUGCAUUGGAAACUGCGGAGCUUGAGUUCGGGAGAGGAAGGCAGAAUUCCCGGUGUAGGGUUGAAACCCGUAGAUAUCGGGAGGAAAACCGGUGGCGAAGGCGGCCUUCUGGAACGAAACUGACGCUGAGGCGCGAAAGCGUGGGGAG